Molecule: signal recognition particle RNA, 98 nt
Filed under: Stutzerimonas stutzeri
Lineage: Bacteria; Pseudomonadati; Pseudomonadota; Gammaproteobacteria; Pseudomonadales; Pseudomonadaceae
Also listed under: 1 other name
Description: Pseudomonas stutzeri signal recognition particle sRNA small type
Rfam family: Bacterial small signal recognition particle RNA
About the family: The signal recognition particle (SRP) is a universally conserved ribonucleoprotein involved in the co-translational targeting of proteins to membranes. Archaeal SRP consists of a 7S RNA and homologues of the eukaryotic SRP19 and SRP54 proteins.
Source: RNAcentral
GGCCGGUCCCCUCGCAACGAUCAGCCGUGAACCCGGUCAGGCCCGGAAGGGGAGCGGCCGCAGUGGUGGCAUUGUGUGCCGGGGUGUGGCUGGAAACC